GGAUUUACUGGGCGUAAAGGGUGCGUAGGCGGCGAUGUAAGUCGAGUGUGAAAUUUCGGGGCUCAACCCCGAAACUGCACUCGAUACUGCGUUGCUAGAGGAUUGUAGAGGAGUGUGGAAUUCACGGUGUAGCAGUGAAAUGCGUAGAUAUCGUGAGGAAGACCAGUGGCGAAGGCGACACUCUGGGCAAUUCCUGACGCUGAGGCACGAAGGCUAGGGGAGCAAACGGGAUUAGAUACCCCGGUAGUCCUAGCAGUAAACGGUGUACGUUUGGUAUGGGGGGUUCGACCCCUUCCGUGCCGGAGCUAACGCGUUAAACGUACCGCCUGGGGAGUACGGUCGCAAGAUUAAAACUCAAAGAAAUUGACGGGGGCCCGCACAAGCGGUGGAGUAUGUGGCUUAAUUCGAUGCAACGCGAAGAACCUUACCUGGUCUUGACAUGCAUUGUGUCCCCGAUGAAAGUCGGGUAUCCAGCAAUGGAGCUUUGCACAGGUGCUGCAUGGCUGUCGUCAGCUCGUGUCGUGAGAUGUUGGGUUAAGUCCCGCA
Molecule: ribosomal RNA, 546 nt
Filed under: uncultured Verrucomicrobiota bacterium
Lineage: Bacteria; Pseudomonadati; Verrucomicrobiota
Description: bacterial SSU rRNA
Rfam family: Bacterial small subunit ribosomal RNA
Source: RNAcentral